GUGAAUCAUCAAAUCUUUGAACGCAAAUUGCACUCUCUUGUAUUCCGGAGAGUAUGCCUGUUUGAGGGUCAGUUUAAAUAAAAAUCGGUGUGGUUUCUGCCUUUCGUGGUUACGCACCGGAUUGGUGUCGUCUUGCCUUUGGUGAAGUGACCUAAAAUUUUUCAUGAUUUUUUCGAGCGUAUUUAAAUUAUUUUACGUACUUUUCUGACAUCUAAUACUAGGUGUUGUCAUCUA
RNAcentral lists this unclassified non-coding RNA (234 nucleotides) under Glomeraceae sp. Its description in RNAcentral is "partial contains 5.8S ribosomal RNA and internal transcribed spacer 2". The stretch from base 1 to 71 matches the Rfam family "5.8S ribosomal RNA", at positions 84 to 154 of the family's 154-position model. Lineage: Eukaryota; Fungi; Glomeromycota; Glomeromycetes; Glomerales; Glomeraceae. The record is from RNAcentral.